Molecule: ribosomal RNA, 111 nt
Filed under: uncultured bacterium
Lineage: Bacteria
Description: partial 16S ribosomal RNA
Rfam family: Bacterial small subunit ribosomal RNA
Source: RNAcentral
CAACGCCGCGUGGGGGAUGAAGCUUUUCGGAGUGUAAACCCCUUUCGACCCGGAAGAAUGCCCGCAAGGGUUUGACGGUACGGGUAUAAGAAGCCCCGGCUAACUACGUGC